CAGCCGCCGCGGUAAUACCAGCCCCGCGAGUGGUCGGGACGGUUAUUGGGCCUAAAGCGCCCGUAGCCGGCCCGGCAAGUCCCUCCUUAAAGCCUCGGGCCCAACCCGAGGACGGGGGGGAUACUGCCGGGCUAGGGGGCGGGAGAGGCCGGCGGUACUCCCGGGGUAGGGGCGAAAUCCGUUAAUCCCGGGAGGACCACCAGUGGCGAAGGCGGCCGGCUGGAACGCGCCCGACGGUGAGGGGCGAAAGCCGGGGGAGCGAACCGGAUUAGAUACCCGGGUAGUCCCGGCUGUAAACGAUGCGGGCUAGCUGUUGGGCGGGCUUAGAGCCCGCCCAGUGGCGCAGGGAAGCCGUUAAGUCCGCCGCCUGGGGAGUACGGCCGCAAGGUUGAAACUUAAAGGAAUUGGCGGG
RNAcentral lists this ribosomal RNA (412 nucleotides) under uncultured microorganism. RNAcentral's name for it is "bacterial SSU rRNA". It matches the Rfam family "Archaeal small subunit ribosomal RNA", at positions 459 to 872 of the family's 1478-position model. The record is from RNAcentral.